Molecule: ribosomal RNA, 403 nt
Filed under: bacterium
Lineage: Bacteria
Description: partial 16S ribosomal RNA
Rfam family: Bacterial small subunit ribosomal RNA
Source: RNAcentral
UGGGGAAUAUUGCACAAUGGGGGAAACCCUGAUGCAGCCACGCCGCGUGAACGAAGAAGGUAUUCGUAUCGUAAAGUUCUGUCCUAUGGGAAGAUAAUGACAGUACCAUAGAAGAAAGCUCCGGCUAAAUACGUGCCAGCAGCCGCGGUAAUACGUAUGGAGCGAGCGUUGUCCGGAAUUAUUGGGCGUAAAGGGUACGCAGGCGGUUUAAUAAGUCGAAUGUUAAAGAUCGGGGCUCAACCCCGUAAAGCAUUGGAAACUGAUAAAGUUGAGUAGUGGAGAGGAAAGUGGAAUUCCUAGUGUAGUGGUGAAAUACGUAGAUAUUAGGAGGAAAACCAGUAGCGAAGGCGACUUUCUGGACACAAACUGACGCUGAAGUACGAAAGCGUGGGGAGCAAACAGG